AGGGGACUGAUCAGAGUCAAACCAUAUGCUGUGGCUUUUGCUGCAUGGAAAUCUCAACUAUACUGCAAGAAUAAUUAUUCCUACUUAAUGAAGUUACAGAAGAGAAUGUGGUGCUGGACGGUACUGACUGCAUGGGGAGAGAGGCCAUACCACAGAAACCUCAAUCUGCCUGAGCCGUGACUCUGAGAGCUGGAGUACCACUGGACAGGUGGGAACUGGAAGGGAAUUAAAGUAUCUGGGGCACCUGCUUCUCUGGUAAUGUAACAGACUAUAAUUUCCACUAGGACGAGAUCCUCAUCAACCUCAGGGUAAAGCUAUUUUGCCUGCAAUUUCUGAGCCAUUGAUCAUGUCCU
Long non-coding RNA from Nomascus leucogenys (northern white-cheeked gibbon), 353 nucleotides. RefSeq lists it as uncharacterized. Lineage: Eukaryota; Metazoa; Chordata; Mammalia; Primates; Hylobatidae. The record is from RefSeq and is a predicted model, not a curated record. The transcript is spliced from 3 exons.